This 628-nucleotide ribosomal RNA is filed under the name Boletus edulis var. grandedulis. RNAcentral describes it as "eukaryotic LSU rRNA". It matches the Rfam family "Eukaryotic large subunit ribosomal RNA", at positions 39 to 655 of the family's 3401-position model. The record is from RNAcentral. Lineage: Eukaryota; Fungi; Basidiomycota; Agaricomycetes; Boletales; Boletaceae.
CAUAUCAAUAAGCGGAGGAAAAGAAACUAACAAGGAUUCCCCUAGUAACUGCGAGUGAAGCGGGAAAAGCUCAAAUUUUGAAUCUGGCGGUCUUUGCAGGCCGUCCGAGUUGUAAUCUAGAGAAGCGUCUUCCGCGCCGGCCUGUGUACAAGUCUCCUGGAAGGGAGCGUCAUAGAGGGUGAGAAUCCCGUCUCUGACACGGACCACCGGUGCUAUGUGAUGCGCUCUCGACGAGUCGAGUUGUUUGGGAAUGCAGCUCAAAAAGGGUGGUAAACUCCAUCUAAAGCUAAAUAUUGGCGAGAGACCGAUAGCGAACAAGUACCGUGAGGGAAAGAUGAAAAGGACUCUGGAAAGAGAGUUAAACAGUACGUGAAAUUGCUGAAAGGGAAACGCUCGAUGUCAGUCGCGUCGGCUGGGGGUCAACCUUGCGGUUUCGCUGGGUGUAUUUCCUGGUUGACGGGUCAGCAUCAGUUUCGGUCGUCGUACAAGGGCCAAGGGAAAGUGGCACCCUUCCGGGGGUGUGUUAUAGCCUUUCGGUCGUAUGUGGCGGCUCGGGACUGAGGAGACUCGGUGUGGGCUUCGGCUUACACUANAGAUGCUGGCAUAAUGGCCUUGAGCGACCCGUCUG